CACUGGAUACUGACAUCAGCCAUAUCCUCAAGGAGUGGCUCAUUAUCAGCUCAUCACUUCUGAGUUUCUGCAAUUUUUUUAAACAAAAAAAGAAAAGAAAAGAAAAGAAAUCAUCAUCCACGAAUGCUUUUUUCUCAUUCACAUAUAAAUAUGAUAUAGAAUUAUACAACAUUUGUUGAGAGAAAAAGAUAGAAAUGAAUGAAGGUUUCAGCUGCAUGAUGCUCCACGAGUAGCUUGUUGAAAGGAAGAAGAGAAAGGGUCUAGCAUGAUAGAGAAGAGGCUGUCAGCUUAGCCAAGGAUGAUUGCCUGUCACCCAAACAUGGGUUCCCAUGAGCUGCAGGCAAGUCAUUCUUGGCUACCAAACAAGACUCUUUAUCUUCAUGGAAGACCUACUCUUCCCCGUGUUCUUUUAAUGUGCUACAUCCUGCUCUGCACUUCUCGCUGCCCAUAAAAGGAAUAUAUUCCCUUCAAUAUGUAGGGACCUCAUGUUUAGGUGAGGUGAUCUGAUCUCCACAAGGAUUAAAGAAAACUCUCGAAGUUUCUGGCGAUUCUACUGUUCGCCCAGCCGCACUUGAGCCUGCCAACUUGCAGCAAAGCUUAUCCCCUGAAAAGAUAUAUGAGAUAGGGCGGUGGUUGUAGCUUAAUCUAGAUAUGUAUGCCGAUGCCCCCUUCUUAUCAAUCUGGCUAGGUUUUCAUUUAUAUAUGUGCACUCUUUGGGCUUUGGUAUGGCUGGCUAAAGCUCAAGCUGUUUAUUAUUAUUAUCAUUAUUAUUUAUGUUGUUAUUGUUUGGUACAUGUUUAUAGUUUAUAGUUAUUUUUCUCGACAAUGUCAUCUUUAAAGUUUUAACAUAUAUUCUCUUUUUGAAGAUGUAACCUAUCUUACCGUUGCACUCUGUUGGAACAUUUUUAAAUAUUUAUAGUGUUUCAAUAACUAUAAAUGAAAAUGUAUAAUUAAUUAAAA
This is a long non-coding RNA of Gossypium arboreum, 960 nucleotides long. RefSeq lists it as uncharacterized. The record is from RefSeq and is a predicted model, not a curated record. The transcript is spliced from 2 exons. NCBI's taxonomy places the organism in Eukaryota, Viridiplantae, Streptophyta, Magnoliopsida, Malvales, Malvaceae.